Molecule: ribosomal RNA, 270 nt
Filed under: uncultured bacterium
Lineage: Bacteria
Description: partial 16S ribosomal RNA
Rfam family: Bacterial small subunit ribosomal RNA
Source: RNAcentral
CUCCGUGCCAGCAGCCGCGGUAAUACGGAGGAUCCAAGCGUUAUCCGGAUUUAUUGGGUUUAAAGGGUGCGUAGGCGGUUCGAUAAGUUGGAGGUGAAAUGUUAGGGCUUAACCCUGAAACUGCCUCCAAUACUGUUGGGCUAGAGAGUAGUUGCGGUAGGCGGAAUGUAUGGUGUAGCGGUGAAAUGCUUAGAGAUCAUACAGAACACCGAUUGCGAAGGCAGCUUACCAAACUAUAUCUGACGUUGAGGCACGAAAGCGUGGGGAGCA